This 1425-nucleotide ribosomal RNA is filed under the name Gomphales sp. TU108347. RNAcentral describes it as "eukaryotic LSU rRNA". The stretch from base 529 to 1425 matches the Rfam family "Eukaryotic large subunit ribosomal RNA", at positions 1 to 865 of the family's 3401-position model. The record is from RNAcentral. Lineage: Eukaryota; Fungi; Basidiomycota; Agaricomycetes; Gomphales.
GGAAGGAUCAUUACCGAUUCCGAGCCUUUAUUACUCACACCUUUGUGCACCGCCAAGGCCUCCCCAUUUGGAGCCGCUCGGCAUCGCGCUCGCGCGAAUAGGUCCGGGUCGAGGUCUGUUGGCCGUCAUUACCGCCUGUCUGUAUAUGCAUGUGUAGAGCGGAUCAAUAACAACUUUCAACAACGGAUCUCUUGGCUUUCGCAUCGAUGAAGGACGCCGCGAACGCGCGAAACGUAAUGUGAAUUGCAGAAUUCAGUGAAUCAUCGAAUCUUUGAACGCAUCUUGCGCCCCUUGGCAUUCCGAGGAGCAUGCCUGUUUGAGUGUCGCGAACGUGUUCAAGCCUCCGCGUAGAGGUUUGGGAUUGGACGCUUUGUCGCCAACGGCGACUCGUCUCGAAACGCAUAUAGUCGGUCCCCGGUCGAAGUUUCAAACGCGACGUGAUAAGUCGACGUCGCGGUCGAACUCGGGGCCCCGCUCGACGUCCGGCCUCGUCGGACUUUCGCCUUCGGGCGGAAACCGUUAACCGUCUGACCUCAAAUCAGGUAGGAUUACCCGCUGAACUUAAGCAUAUCAAUAAGCGGAGGAAAAGAAACUAACCAGGAUUCCCCUAGUAACGGCGAGUGAAGCGGGAAGAGCUCAAAUUUGUAAUCUGGCGGCCUCGAGGCCGUCCGAGUUGUAAUCUGGAGAAGCGCUUUCCGCGCCGGCACCGUGUACAAGUCCCUUGGAACAGGGCGUCGCAGAGGGUGAGAAUCCCGUCUUUGACACGGACCGUCGGGGCUUAUGCGAUGCGCUCUCGAAGAGUCGAGUUGUUUGGGAAUGCAGCUCAAAACGGGUGGUAAAUUCCAUCUAAAGCUAAAUACGGGCGAAAGACCGAUAGCGAACAAGUACCGUGAGGGAAAGAUGAAAAGCACUUUGAAAAGAGAGUUAAACAGUACGUGAAAUUGUUGAAAGGGAAACGCUCGAAGUCAGUCGCGUCUCUCGAGACUCAGCUUCGCGUUAGCGCGGAGGGCAUUUCUCGAGUCGGACGGGCCAGCGUCGAUUUCGUCCGACGGACAAAAGGGGGAGGAAAGUGGCACCCUUCGGAGUGUGUUAUAGCCUCCCCUUGUAUGCGUCGGAGGAGAUCGAGGACCGCAGCACGCCCUCCGGGGCCGGGGUUCGCCCACGUAACGUGCUUAGGACGCUGGCGUAAUGGCUUUUAGCGACCCGUCUUGAAACACGGACCAAGGAGUCUAACGCGCCCUGCGAGUGUUUGGGUGGCAAACCCGGACGCGUAACGAAAGUGAAAUCAAAGUCGAGACCCCCGUCGCGGGGGGGCAUCGACGCCCGGGCUCGAGCUUUUUGCGACGGCUCCCAGGUAGAGCAAGCGCGUUGGGACCCGAAAGAUGGUGAACUAUGCCCGAGUAGGGCGAAGCCAGAGGAAACUCU